This 482-nucleotide ribosomal RNA is filed under the name uncultured bacterium. Its description in RNAcentral is "partial 16S ribosomal RNA". It matches the Rfam family "Bacterial small subunit ribosomal RNA", at positions 30 to 507 of the family's 1533-position model. The record is from RNAcentral.
AUUGAACGCUGGCGGCAUGCCUUACACAUGCAAGUCGAACGGUAACAGGUCUUCGGAUGCUGACGAGUGGCGAACGGGUGAGUAAUACAUCGGAACGUGCCCAGACGUGGGGGAUAACGAGGCGAAAGCUUUGCUAAUACCGCAUACGAUCUAAGGAUGAAAGCAGGGGACCGCAAGGCCUUGCGCGUUUGGAGCGGCCGAUGGCAGAUUAGGUAGUUGGUGGGAUAAAAGCUUACCAAGCCGACGAUCUGUAGCUGGUCUGAGAGGACGACCAGCCACACUGGGACUGAGACACGGCCCAGACUCCUACGGGAGGCAGCAGUGGGGAAUUUUGGACAAUGGGCGAAAGCCUGAUACAGCAAUGCCGCGUGCAGGAUGAAGGCCUUCGGGUUGUAAACUGCUUUUGUACGGAACGAAAAGGCUCUGGCUAAUACCUGGGGCACAUGACGGUACCGUAAGAAUAAGCACCGGCUAACUACGUG